AACGGUAACAGGCCUUCGGGUGCUGACGAGUGGCGAACGGGUGAGUAAUGCAUCGGAACGUGCCCAGAGGUGGGGGAUAACGCAGCGAAAGCUGUGCUAAUACCGCAUGUGAUCUGAGGAUGAAAGCGGGGGACCAAGCAGCAAUGUUUGGCCUCGCGCCUCUGGAGCGGCCGAUGUCAGAUUAGGUAGUUGGUGGGGUAAAGGCCUACCAAGCCGACGAUCUGUAGCUGGUCUGAGAGGACGACCAGCCACACUGGGACUGAGACACGGCCCAGACUCCUACGGGAGGCAGCAGUGGGGAAUUUUGGACAAUGGGCGCAAGCCUGAUCCAGCAAUGCCGCGUGCGGGAAGAAGGCCUUCGGGUUGUAAACCGCUUUUGUACGGAACGAAAAGGCUCUGGCUAAUACCUGGGGCUGAUGACGGUACCGUAAGAAUAAGCACCGGCUAACUACGUGCCAGCAGCC
This 464-nucleotide ribosomal RNA is filed under the name uncultured bacterium. RNAcentral's name for it is "bacterial SSU rRNA". It matches the Rfam family "Bacterial small subunit ribosomal RNA", at positions 65 to 516 of the family's 1533-position model. The record is from RNAcentral.